AUUGAACGCUGGCGGCAUGCUUUACACAUGCAAGUCGAACGGUAACAGGCCUUCGGGUGCUGACGAGUGGCGAACGGGUGAGUAAUGCAUCGGAACGUACCCAGAGGUGGGGGAUAACGCAGCGAAAGCUGUGCUAAUACCGCAUGUGAUCUGAGGAUGACAGCGGGGGACCGAGCAGCAAUGUUUGGCCUCGCGCCUUUGGAGCGGCCGAUGUCGGAUUAGCUAGUUGGUGGGGUAAAGGCCUACCAAGGCGACGAUCCGUAGCUGGUCUGAGAGGACGAACAGCCACACUGGGACUGAGACACGGCCCAGACUCCUACGGGAGGCAGCAGUGGGGAAUUUUGGACAAUGGGCGCAAGCCUGAUCCAGCAAUGCCGCGUGCGGGAAGAAGGCCUUCGGGUUGUAAACCGCUUUUGGCAGGAACGAAACGGUGUCCGCUAAUACCGGGCGCUAAUGACGGUACCUGCAGAAUAAGCACCGGCUAACUACGUG
RNAcentral lists this ribosomal RNA (492 nucleotides) under uncultured bacterium. RNAcentral describes it as "partial 16S ribosomal RNA". It matches the Rfam family "Bacterial small subunit ribosomal RNA", at positions 29 to 507 of the family's 1533-position model. The record is from RNAcentral.